UACGGAGGGUGCGAGCGUUAAUCGGAAUUACUGGGCGUAAAGGGUGCGUAGGUGGUUGUAUAAGUUAUCUGUGAAAUCCCUGGGCUUAACCUAGGAAGGUCAGAUAAGACUGUAUAACUCGAGUAUAGGAGAGGGUAGUGGAAUUUCCGGUGUAGCGGUGAAAUGCGUAGAGAUCGGAAGGAACACCAGUGGCGAAGGCGGCUACCUGGCCUAAUACUGACACUGAGGCACGAAAGCGUGGGGAGCAAACAGG
RNAcentral lists this ribosomal RNA (253 nucleotides) under uncultured bacterium. RNAcentral describes it as "partial 16S ribosomal RNA". It matches the Rfam family "Bacterial small subunit ribosomal RNA", at positions 524 to 776 of the family's 1533-position model. The record is from RNAcentral.